GAUGAACGCUGGCGGCGUGCCUAAUACAUGCGAGUCGAGCGAACAGAUGAGGAUCUUGCUCCUCUGACGUUAGCGGCGGACGGGUGAGUAACACGUGGAUAACCUACCUAUAAGACUGGGAUAACUUCGGGAAACCGGAGCUAAUACCGGAUAAUAUAUUGAACCUCAUGGUUCAAUAGUGAAAGACGGUUUUGCUGUCACUUAUAGAUGGAUCCGCGCCGCAUUAGCUAGUUGGUAAGGUAACGGGUUACCAAGGCAACGAUGCGUAGCCGACCUGAGAGGGUGAUCGGGCACACUGGAACUGAGACACGGUACAGACUCCGGCGGGAGGCAGCAGUAGAGAAUCUUCCGCGAUGGGCGAGAGCCUGACGGAGCGAAACGGCGUGAAUGAUGAAGGUCUUAGGAUCGUAAAACUAUGUUAUUAGGGAAGAACAAAUGUGUAAGUAACUAUGCACGUAUUGACGGUACCUAAUGAGAAAGCCACGGCUAACUACGUG
This 497-nucleotide ribosomal RNA is filed under the name uncultured bacterium. RNAcentral describes it as "partial 16S ribosomal RNA". It matches the Rfam family "Bacterial small subunit ribosomal RNA", at positions 28 to 507 of the family's 1533-position model. The record is from RNAcentral.